CAGCCGUAAACUAUGCGCGUUAGGUGUACUGGUGACCACGAGUCACCGGGGUGCCGAAGGGAAACCGUGAAACGUGCCGCCUGGGAAGUACGGUCGCAAGGCUGAAACUUAAAGGAUUGGCGGGGAGCACCACGAACGGGUGGAGCCUGCGGUUUAAUUGGACUCAACGCCGGAAAUCUCACCGGAUAGGACAGACAUAUGAUAGUCGGGCUGAAGACUCUACUUGAUGAUCUGAGAGGUGGUGCAUGGCGUCAGUGACU
This 260-nucleotide ribosomal RNA is filed under the name uncultured archaeon. RNAcentral's name for it is "partial 16S ribosomal RNA". It matches the Rfam family "Archaeal small subunit ribosomal RNA", at positions 748 to 1008 of the family's 1478-position model. The record is from RNAcentral.